RNAcentral lists this ribosomal RNA (494 nucleotides) under uncultured bacterium. RNAcentral describes it as "bacterial SSU rRNA". It matches the Rfam family "Bacterial small subunit ribosomal RNA", at positions 28 to 516 of the family's 1533-position model. The record is from RNAcentral.
GAUGAACGCUAGCGGCAGGCUUAACACAUGCAAGUCGAGGGGCAGCGCGAUGUAGCAAUACAUUGGCGGCGACCGGCGCACGGGUGCGUAACACGUAUGGAAUCUGCCCUGUACUGGGAGAUAACCCGGCGAAAGUCGGACUAAUAUCCCAUAAUAGGCGAGGUGGCAUCACCUUGCUUUGAAAGCUCCGGCGGUACAGGAUGACCAUGCGCACGAUUAGCUAGUUGGUGAGGUAACGGCUCACCAAGGCUACGAUCGUUAGGGGGCCUGAGAGGGUUAUCCCCCACACUGGUACUGAGACACGGACCAGACUCCUACGGGAGGCAGCAGUGAGGAAUAUUGCGCAAUGGAGGCAACUCUGACGCAGCCAUGCCGCGUGCAGGAAGAAGGCGCUACGCGUUGUAAACUGCUUUUAACCGGGAAGAAACCCCAGGACGUGUCCUGGGUUGACGGUACCGGAGGAAUAAGCACCGGCUAACUUCGUGCCAGCAGCC